Molecule: small RNA, 3563 nt
Filed under: Pongo abelii (Sumatran orangutan)
Lineage: Eukaryota; Metazoa; Chordata; Mammalia; Primates; Hominidae
Description: retained intron
Source: RNAcentral
GCCGCAGCACCCUGGGCCACGCCGAUGACUACUGCAAACUGUGGCGCCCACGACGAGCUCGACUUCAAACUCGUCUUUGGCGAGGACGGGGCGCCGGCACCGCCGCCCCCGGGCUCGCGGCCUGCAGAUCUUGAGCCAGAUGAUUGUGCAUCCAUUUACAUCUUUAAUAUAGAUCCACCUCCAUCUACUUUAAACACACCACUUUGCUUACCACAUCAUGGAUUACCGUCUCACUCUUCUGUUCUGUCACCAUCGUUUCAGCUCCAAAGUCACAAAAACUAUGAAGGAACUUGUGAGAUUCCUGAAUCUAAAUAUAGCCCAUUAGGUGGUCCCAAACCCUUUGAGUGCCCAAGUAUUCAAAUUACAUCUAUCUCUCCUAACUGUCAUCAAGAAAUAGAUGCACAUGAAGAUGACCUACAGAUAAAUGACCCAGAACGGGAAUUUUUGGAAAGGCCUUCUAGAGAUCAUCUCUAUCUUCCUCUUGAGCCAUCCUACCGGGAGUCUUCUCUUAGUCCUAGUCCUGCCAGCAGCAUCUCUUCUAGGAGCUGGUUCUCUGAUGCAUCUUCUUGUGAAUCACUUUCACAUAUUUAUGAUGAUGUGGACUCAGAGUUGAAUGAAGCUGCAGCCCGAUUUACCCUUGGAUCCCCUCUGACUUCUCCUGGUGGCUCUCCAGGGGGCUGCCCUGGAGAAGAAACUUGGCAUCAACAGUAUGGACUUGGACACUCAUUAUCACCCAGGCAAUCUCCUUGCCACUCUCCUAGAUCCAGUGUCACUGAUGAGAAUUGGCUGAGCCCCAGGCCAGCCUCAGGACCCUCAUCAAGGCCCACAUCCCCCUGUGGGAAACGGAGGCACUCCAGUGCUGAAGUUUGUUAUGCUGGGUCCCUUUCACCCCAUCACUCACCUGUUCCUUCUCCUGGUCACUCCCCCAGGGGAAGUGUGACAGAAGAUACCUGGCUCAAUGCUUCUGUCCAUGGUGGGUCAGGCCUUGGCCCUGCAGUUUUUCCAUUUCAGUACUGUGUAGAGACUGACAUCCCUCUCAAAACAAGGAAAACUUCUGAAGAUCAAGCUGCCAUACUACCAGGAAAAUUAGAGCUGUGUUCAGAUGACCAAGGGAGUUUAUCACCAUCCCGGGAGACUUCAAUAGAUGAUGGCCUUGGAUCUCAGUAUCCUUUAAAGAAAGAUUCAUGUGGUGAUCAGUUUCUUUCAGUUCCUUCACCCUUUACCUGGAGCAAACCAAAGCCUGGCCACACCCCUAUAUUUCGCACAUCUUCAUUACCUCCGCUAGACUGGCCUUUACCAGCUCAUUUUGGACAAUGUGAACUGAAAAUAGAAGUGCAGCCUAAAGCUCAUCAUCGAGCCCAUUAUGAAACUGAAGGUAGCCGAGGGGCAGUAAAAGCAUCUACUGGGGGACAUCCUGUUGUGAAGCUCCUGGGCUAUAACGAAAAGCCGAUAAAUCUACAAAUGUUUAUUGGGACAGCAGAUGAUCGAUAUUUACGACCUCAUGCAUUUUACCAGGUGCAUCGAAUCACUGGGAAGACAGUCGCUACUGCAAGCCAAGAGAUAAUAAUUGCCAGUACAAAAGUUCUGGAAAUUCCACUUCUUCCUGAAAACAAUAUGUCAGCCAGUAUUGAUUGUGCAGGUAUUUUGAAACUCCGCAAUUCAGAUAUAGAACUUCGAAAAGGAGAAACUGAUAUUGGCAGAAAGAAUACUAGAGUACGACUUGUGUUUCGUGUACACAUCCCACAGCCCAGUGGAAAAGUCCUUUCUCUGCAGAUAGCCUCUAUACCCGUUGAGUGCUCCCAGCGGUCUGCUCAAGAACUUCCUCAUAUUGAGAAGUACAGUAUCAACAGUUGUUCUGUAAAUGGAGGUCAUGAAAUGAUUGUGACUGGAUCUAAUUUUCUUCCAGAAUCCAAAAUCAUUUUUCUUGAAAAAGGACAAGAUGGACGACCUCAGUGGGAGGUAGAAGGGAAGAUAAUCAGGGAAAAAUGUCAAGGGGCUCACAUUGUCCUUGAAGUUCCUCCAUAUCAUAACCCAGCAGUUACAGCUGCAGUGCAGGUGCACUUUUAUCUUUGCAAUGGCAAGAGGAAAAAAAGCCAGUCUCAACGUUUUACUUAUACACCAGUUUUGAUGAAGCAAGAACACGGAGAAGAGAUUGAUUUGUCUUCAGUUCCAUCUUUGCCUGUGCCUCAUCCUGCUCAGACCCAGAGGCCUUCCUCUGAUUCAGGGUGUUCACAUGACAGUGUACUAUCAGGACAGAGAAGUUUGGUUUGUUCCAUCCCACAAACAUAUGCAUCCAUGGUGACCUCAUCCCAUCUGCCACAGUUGCAGUGUGGAGAUGAGAGUGUUAGUAAAGAACGGCAUAUGAUUCCUUCUCCAGUUGUACACCAUCCUUUUCAAGUCACACCAACACCUCCUUUGGGGUCUUCCUAUCAGCCUAUGCAAACUAACGUUGUGUACAAUGGACCAACUUGUCUUCCUAUUAAUGCUGCCUCUAGUCAAGAAUUUGAUUCAGUUUUGUUUCAGCAGGAUGCAACUCUUCCUAGUUUAGUGAAUCUUGGCUGUCAACCAUUGUCAUCCAUACCAUUUCAUUCUUCAAAUUCAGGCUCAACAGGACAUCUCUUAGCCCAUACACCUCAUUCUGUACAUACCCUGCCUCAUCUGCAAUCAAUGGGAUAUCAUUGUUCAAAUACAGGACAAAGAUCUCUUUCUUCUCCAGUGGCUGACCAGAUUACAGGUCAGCCUUCUUCUCAGUUACAACCUAUUACAUAUGGUCCUUCACAUUCAGGGUCUGCUACAACAGCUUCUCCAGCAGCUUCUCAUCCCUUGGCUAGUUCACCGCUUUCUGGGCCACCAUCUCCUCAGCUUCAGCCUAUGCCUUACCAAUCUCCUAGCUCAGGAACUGCCUCAUCACCGUCUCCAGCCACCAGAAUGCAUUCUGGACAGCACUCAACUCAAGCACAAAGUACAGGCCAGGGGGGUCUUUCUGCACCGUCAUCCUUAAUAUGUCACAGUUUGUGUGAUCCAGCUUCAUUUCCACCUGAUGGGGCAACUGUGAGCAUUAAACCUGAACCAGAAGAUCGGGAGCCUAACUUUGCAACCAUUGGUCUGCAGGACAUCACUUUAGAUGAUGGUAAGUUCAUCUGUGAUAUGUUCUUGAAGUAGUGAAGAUUCAGGAACUUUAUUCUCCCAAGUGUCAUGAAAAAGUUUCUAUGGAUUGCUUAUUGGCAUAUGGUUGGGCUUUUAAAUAAGUUGUUAUUAGAAAUAUAUGUUAAUAUAUAACUUUGCCAGGCACCACGGCUCACGCCUGUAUCCCAGCACUUUGGAAGGCUGAGGCUGGUGGAUCACAAGGUCAGGAGUUCGAGACCAGCCUGGCCAACAUGGUGGAACGCUGUCUCUACUAAAAAUACAAAAAAUUAGCCGGGCGUGGUGGUGUGUGCCUAUAAUCCCAGCUACUCAGGAGGCUGAGACAGGAGAAUCGCUUGAACCCGGGAGGUGGCAGUUGCAGGGAGCCAAGAUCACACCAUUGCACUGCAGCCUGGGCGACAGAGCAAGACUCCAUUUCG